Long non-coding RNA from Panicum virgatum (switchgrass), 812 nucleotides. RefSeq lists it as uncharacterized. The transcript has 5 exons. NCBI's taxonomy places the organism in Eukaryota, Viridiplantae, Streptophyta, Magnoliopsida, Poales, Poaceae. The record is from RefSeq and is a predicted model, not a curated record.
UUUUUACACAGCCUAAACUACAUGUUUCUUCUUGUAUCUCAUUUUUGCAGUGCCACCAGCAACCUCCUGGCAACACCUGUGGUUUUUACACAGCCUAUCACAUGAUGAUAGCUAUGGAUUUUACUAAUUUGCAAGAUCAUGAGGCAGCCCAACAAGAAAGAUCGACUUUCAUAGAUUUGUUGCUGCCUCUUCUGUCUGAAUACGACAAUCUCCAGCCUUCUGUUUUUGAUGCCCAAUCAAUUGUCGGUAAUCUAAAGGGCUUAUUUAAAAUACUUCAAAAGCAAGAGGAUAGCCUAUAAGAAGUUGGUACAUGCUACAAAGUUCCGAUGCCACCAACAACCUCCUGGCAACACCUGUGGUUUUUACACAGCCUAUCACAUGAUGAUAGCUAUGGAUUUUACUAAUUUGCAAGAUCCUGAGGUUGUUGUUCAUUUCAUCACUGGUCAGCUAGGGUGAGCAGCUCCCUCCAAGUAGUCACCCCCAGGUCCUCGAGCUCCAGCACGCAAGAAGCUGCCUCCUUUUGCUUGCCAUGACCAUGAAUAGUUUCAGUUCAGUUUACCUGAGAGAGCAUGUGUCCCGUACAGCCACACAUACUUAUCUUAUUUGGAGCCAUAUUUUUAGACCCUGAUGUCCCUUGUAAUUGCCAUUUAUUCUAGAGCAAUCAUCACAUUUUGAUUGGUUAGGUGGAUGCUCUAUGUAAUUGCUUACAAUUUAAUAGACUGUAAUCAAAAUUUUUAUGUACUGUGAACCAUUUAUCUUAUGUAUUUUGAUCAUGAAAAGUCUUACGUAAGGUCAAUUUUCAGACUGUUUUA